AUGGUCAAUGUACCUAAAACCCGAAGAACUUUCUGUAAGAAGUGUGGCAAGCACUAGCCUCACAAAGUGACACAGUAUAAGAAAGGCAAGGAUUCUCUGUAUGCCCAGGGAAAGAGAUUCUAUGAUCGGAAGCAGAGUGGCUAUGGUGGGCAGACAAAGCCAAUUUUCUGGAAGAAGGCCAAGACUACAAAGAAGAUUAUUGUAUUAAGGCUGGAAUGUGUUGAGCCUAACUGCAGAUACAAGAGGAUGCUGGUCAUUAAGAGAUGCAAGCAUUUUGAACAGGGAGGAGAUAAGAAGAGAAAGGGCCAAGUGAUCCAGUUCUGAGCUUUGGGAUUUUUUUUUUUUUUGAGAUGGGGAUGUUAAAGCUGUAGAAAAAUUACUUGCAGGAAAAUAAAUACAGUGAUAUUUUCACUCA
Molecule: RNA transcript, 415 nt
Organism: Carlito syrichta (Philippine tarsier)
Lineage: Eukaryota; Metazoa; Chordata; Mammalia; Primates; Tarsiidae
Gene name: 60S ribosomal protein L36a-like
Exons: 3
Source: RefSeq, a predicted model, not a curated record